GGUUCCUCUCCAAAAGGAGAACUCAGGAAUCCAGGCAGCUGAAGAUUGCGGCGCUGCAGGCGAUGUCAAGGACAAAAGCUGUGCGUCUGUGGGACGGUGCGGGGCAAGGGGGGAAACGGAAAGCCUCCGCAGAAGCUGAUGCCAGCGGCCUUCCUCUGAAGCGCAGCCACGUGGAAAGCCAGGAGUGUGGCACAGCACCCAAGAGAGUUACCUCUCCUGUCCUGAUUUACAAUGG
This is a long non-coding RNA of Tympanuchus pallidicinctus (lesser prairie-chicken), 235 nucleotides long. RefSeq lists it as uncharacterized. The transcript is spliced from 4 exons. Lineage: Eukaryota; Metazoa; Chordata; Aves; Galliformes; Phasianidae. The record is from RefSeq and is a predicted model, not a curated record.